CGUAAAAAACAGGCACACGAGACCAGCUCGGUCCGAUGCGCUCGCCGCCCCCUCGAUUCCGGCCAUCGCCGGCCAUAUCCGCCUCCGCUGCUUGCCGGAGAGGCUCCGCCUCGGUCUCCUCCUCCGGUUCCCCUGCACCAGGACGCAUGCCCGCGUACGCACGUGCAACCGCGCGAAACCCUAGCUCCCGCUUCGGUCUCAGUCGCCGGCGCCGCCGCGCCUUGGGCUGCACUCCCCUAUCGCCUGCGCCUCCUCUACGAUCUCCCGAGCUCCUGCUCUACUACAUCGACACCGACGACCACCUCCUGGUUCCCCGCGUGACCGCGUCGACCUCGCCAUUCGGUGGCGAGGCAAGCGCAGCCUCAAGUGUGGCCGCUGAUGGUGCCUCUGCUGGUUUUUCCACGCAUACCUUCCCUGGCAUCCGACGACGGGACCAAGAAGAGGAGACGAGAUGGGUAAGAAGUGCCCCGGCUGACAGUGACGGGAGGAGAGGAUGCCGGCGGCAGCAAGAAGUUGAAUCAUCUUGGUCUGGCCCUGAUGCCCUGAUGGUGAUAUCCGGUGUCAGUCCACCCGCGGGGCUUCGAAUUGAAGCAACAAGGUUAGAAGAGAUGGGAGAUGGGGCUCACGAACGAAGGUGGGGGCAGGCAGCGGUGGAGGUCAGAAAAGAUGGCAGAUGGGGGAAGGAAGUGAUGCAGGUUGGACAUGGCUGGCGUGCGGAGACAGUGGAGAAGAAUGGGGAGUUGUCAUACCAACAACGCUGGCUUGGACCCCGGGAUGACGUUCGUGCUGUUCAUACGCGGGGAUGCAGCUCUAAUCAGAAGGUGCGGGAGGCGCAGCUCGGCGAGGUUCGGCGUCGCCGUGGUGUACGAUGAUGAGGAGAAAGCCAGCCUCUACUCCAAUGAGUGCCGGCCCACUCUUCAUUUCUGGCUGUUUUGCUCGGGGCGGCAGAGCUUAGGUUAUCCGGUGGUGGUCAGUGUGGUGGCGUUCCUGACCUCUCCAUGGAAAUUAUUUUACCAGCUGCGUCCGGUGAGUCCGUGAACCCCCUUUUCCGAGCCCUUUAUCCCCGACCACGCGUCCACCCAGAUCGAUGUCGCCGUCUGCGGCGGUGCCUCGCGUGCCACCGCAAGUAAAUACCUCUGAUCCUGCCACUGGCGGCCGACCACUAUACAUGUUCGUUCCUUCAUGCCCUGUUCCGUGUCCGUUCGUGUAGCCUCCGAGUUCAGACGGUUCAUUUGAUGGGUUGCCCUUCUUCUAUUUUCUUACCUUCUCCACGUAUUUGGGAAGGUAAUUGUUCUCCUGCUCCUUUUUCAUGACGCUCUUUGAUGGGGUUCUGCAGAUUCUGCUCUAUGAUGAUUUUUUUUGAGAUUGAAACGGCAGUAUGAGCUUAAAAGAUUCCAAAUACAUCCCAUUUAGUUUCCAAUCUGCUGGCUUAGAGAAGUAAAUACUUCUAAUUUGUUAUUAGAUUGUUUCUUAAUUCAGAAUCAGAGUGAGUUUGUUGUUCUUCAUUAUAACUGUGAACCACCAAUCUAAAACUAUUUUUUCGCAAAAUUUAUUUUGACAAGAAUGAUACUGAUGCUUUAAGCUAUUCAUCUUUGACAUUUUGGAACUGUGAAUUUAUCUAUGAUAUGACAUGUGGGUAUCUAGAAGUAACUGUUCCGGGUCACAUAUUUGAAGCUAUUCAAAAAAUCAGUCCCAAGAGUUGUUGCUUCAUGAUAUACAUUUUUUGGCACUUUUAGUAAGAGGGCUUCAGAAUGACAACUGCUGCUAUGGAACUCUCCAUGAAUUUUAUCCUCCUUGUUUUCUAAAUUUAUACUUAUAGCACAUGUAUAUUUCACUAUUUAUUUACACUAUCAUAAGAUAUUGCUUUUGCCCUUUCCCAAUUUUUGUGGAGCACCAUUUGUUUUUGCAAAUUAGAUUGUUACGGUCUAUUUUAUCUACAUCGCUUAUUAGUAGUGCCUAAUUUUUAUUUACAUCGCUUAUUUUUGUUGUUGAGUUUUCAAAGAGGGUGCUGCCAAAGGGAAGUCUUGGUGGCAUGUGUUUGUGUUCUAGCUUUGUAUAGUUUCAGAAGAGGGGGCUGCCACUGGGAGGUCUCGGCAAGGAGCUUACAUGCUGAUCUGGUUGUGCCAUGGUAGAAGUCGACUCGCACAGAUUUCUCUGUUUUGUGAUGUCAACUCGAACACGCAGUCUUGGCAGGUCCGUGUGAGGGUUACGGUUCUGAAAAUAUCUGGAUGUGAGGAAGAACAAUUAGAUGGUUUGUUUCCAGUUCAGAAUUUGAUAAUUGUAGAUGGUUGACAAGAAGGUGGUUGGUGGAUGCCGUAAAGGAUGUGCUAUGCAGGGCUCCAUAUCAAAAGUUCAUACAAAGAGGUUUAGGGGAAUGCUUCUUACGGGACACGCUUACCAUUUGCAUUACAUGGAAAUUAAGAAGCAAAGGAUGCCUUUCAUGUUGUGGACCACGCCUUUGACAUCUGGAUCACCAAAUGGACAGACAUAAUUGAGAUCAACAAUUUUCCUAAGAGUCGUUCCAGAGCAUACUUGCUAACGUCAGUGAUAGGACCUAUCUCGCAGGUGGUUUACUCAUGGGUGUAGUGGUCAUUUGUAUCACCUCCAUUCGUUGUCAGGUCCGUCAGUUUUAUGGUGUGUUACUCACUAUGUUGGUCUCGGCUUUUUUGUGAGUGGAGAUGUGAUUGGCAUAGUGGCUGACAUAUCUCUGGUUGUUACCGUCAAUGUGAAAGGUCGCCCACUUCUAGGCAUAUUUUUCAUCUCACAGUUACAAGGCAGACGGCGAUGGUGGCCUUCUGGGGCAGAAAUGCUGAAGCUAUUCACAUUGAGCAUAUGGUUGAUGCGGGUUCUAGAGAGCCUGUGGUUCUCUUGGUUAUGGGAUGCACCUGUAAAAACAGGAUUUUUUAAGAUUGGUAGGAUCUGUUCAGCCAGUUGAGCUUAUCAUGGAAAGGGGACGGUGUUUCGGAGUGUCUAGAUCCAACGUGUGACCGUGCUAACAUAAAACGUGUUCUCCAUGGUUGGCCUAGCUACGACGAUGACAUCAUCGAUGCUGUCAGGGCGGCUCCAGAAGGCGCAUAUCCAAUUGAUAUUGUAGAGCAUGGUGUGUGACUUUUGAUGCUUCAGGGCUAUGCAGUGGUUUCUGCAGUACAUCUUGUGAUCAAACAAGGUUUUGCUUUUGGCGCAAACAAGGCUUUGCUUUUGGCAGUACCAGCCUUGAGAUGAAACAGUAAGGAAUUUGUAGUUGCUUUUAAUGAAUUGAUUUUUAAGCUAUGGGGCAAUUUCGGCAUGCGGCCAGCUAGGCUAGCAAAAGGAAUUAAAAUCUGUCUAUCCUGUCUUAUUAUGAAUGUGAA
This is an RNA transcript of Lolium perenne, 3350 nucleotides long. RefSeq lists it as uncharacterized. The record is from RefSeq and is a predicted model, not a curated record. NCBI's taxonomy places the organism in Eukaryota, Viridiplantae, Streptophyta, Magnoliopsida, Poales, Poaceae.